Molecule: ribosomal RNA, 1139 nt
Filed under: Enterobacter cloacae
Lineage: Bacteria; Pseudomonadati; Pseudomonadota; Gammaproteobacteria; Enterobacterales; Enterobacteriaceae
Description: bacterial SSU rRNA
Rfam family: Bacterial small subunit ribosomal RNA
Source: RNAcentral
ACUUAAAUUGAAGAGUUUGAUCAUGGCUCAGAUUGAACGCUGGCGGCAGGCCUAACACAUGCAAGUCGAGCGGCAGCGGAAAGUAGCUUGCUACUUUGCCGGCGAGCGGCGGACGGGUGAGUAAUGUCUGGGAAACUGCCUGAUGGAGGGGGAUAACUACUGGAAACGGUAGCUAAUACCGCAUAACGUCGCAAGACCAAAGAGGGGGACCUUCGGGCCUCUUGCCAUCAGAUGUGCCCAGAUGGGAUUAGCUAGUAGGUGGGGUAACGGCUCACCUAGGCGACGAUCCCUAGCUGGUCUGAGAGGAUGACCAGCCACACUGGAACUGAGACACGGUCCAGACUCCUACGGGAGGCAGCAGUGGGGAAUAUUGCACAAUGGGCGCAAGCCUGAUGCAGCCAUGCCGCGUGUAUGAAGAAGGCCUUCGGGUUGUAAAGUACUUUCAGCGGGGAGGAAGGUGUUGUGGUUAAUAACCACAGCAAUUGACGUUACCCGCAGAAGAAGCACCGGCUAACUCCGUGCCAGCAGCCGCGGUAAUACGGAGGGUGCAAGCGUUAAUCGGAAUUACUGGGCGUAAAGCGCACGCAGGCGGUCUGUCAAGUCGGAUGUGAAAUCCCCGGGCUCAACCUGGGAACUGCAUUCGAAACUGGCAGGCUAGAGUCUUGUAGAGGGGGGUAGAAUUCCAGGUGUAGCGGUGAAAUGCGUAGAGAUCUGGAGGAAUACCGGUGGCGAAGGCGGCCCCCUGGACAAAGACUGACGCUCAGGUGCGAAAGCGUGGGGAGCAAACAGGAUUAGAUACCCUGGUAGUCCACGCCGUAAACGAUGUCGACUUGGAGGUUGUGCCCUUGAGGCGUGGCUUCCGGAGCUAACGCGUUAAGUCGACCGCCUGGGGAGUACGGCCGCAAGGUUAAAACUCAAAUGAAUUGACGGGGGCCCGCACAAGCGGUGGAGCAUGUGGUUUAAUUCGAUGCAACGCGAAGAACCUUACCUACUCUUGACAUCCAGAGAACUUUCCAGAGAUGGAUUGGUGCCUUCGGGAACUCUGAGACAGGUGCUGCAUGGCUGUCGUCAGCUCGUGUUGUGAAAUGUUGGGUUAAGUCCCGCAACGAGCGCAACCCUUAUCCUUUGUUGCCAGCGGU